UUCGUGGAACGGGCGCACGGUUGCGUACAGUUUGCAACCUUAACCUUAAUUGGGGAAAUAGCUCGAAAGAGGAUUACACCGAUAACAUCACGAGACGGCAUCGCCUUGUGAUCACCUCCGGGGGUUAAAGAUGGGCAUGCGUCCGAUUAGCUAGUUGCGCGGUACGGCACCAGCGACGAUCGGUAGGGGUCUGAGAGAUGAUCCCCACACUGGUACUGAGACACGGACCAGACUCCUACGGGAGGCAGCAGUAAGGAAUAUUGGACAAUGGUCGCAAGACUGAUCCAGCCAUGCCGCGUGCAGGAUGAACGAUCUAUGAUCUGUAAACUGCUUUUGUUCGGGAAUAAACCCCUUCACGUGUGGAGGGCUGAAUGUACCGAAAGAAUAAGGGUCGGCUAACUUCGUGCCAGCAGCCGCGGUAAGACGAAGGACCAAGCGUUAUCCGGAUUUAUUGGGUUUAAAGGGUGCGUAGGCGGGUUGUUAAGUCAGUGGUGAAAGCCUAGAACUUAACUCUAGAAUUGCCAUUGAUACUGACGAUCUUGAGGAUAGUUUGAGGUGGGCGGAAUGUAUCAUGUCAGCGGUGAAAUGCUUAAUAUGACA
Molecule: ribosomal RNA, 600 nt
Filed under: uncultured bacterium
Lineage: Bacteria
Description: bacterial SSU rRNA
Rfam family: Bacterial small subunit ribosomal RNA
Source: RNAcentral